GGGCGCUUAGCUCAGUUGGUAGAGCGUCUCGUUUACACCGAGAAUGUCGGCGGUUCGAGUCCGUCAGCGCCCACCA
Molecule: transfer RNA, 76 nt
Filed under: Sphingomonas sp.
Lineage: Bacteria; Pseudomonadati; Pseudomonadota; Alphaproteobacteria; Sphingomonadales; Sphingomonadaceae
Also listed under: 1 other name
Description: tRNA-Val
Rfam family: tRNA
About the family: Transfer RNA (tRNA) molecules are approximately 80 nucleotides in length.
Source: RNAcentral